GUAGGUGGCAAGCGUUGUCCGGAAUUAUUGGGCGUAAAGCGCGCGCAGGCGGUUCUUUAAGUCUGAUGUGAAAGCCCACGGCUCAACCGUGGAGGGUCAUUGGAAACAGGAGAACUUGAGUACAGAAGAGGAAAGCGGAAUUCCACGUGUAGCGGUGAAAUGCGUAGAGAUGUGGAGGAACACCAGUGGCGAAGGCGGCUUUCUGGUCUGUAACUGACGCUGAGGCGCGAAAGCGUGGGGAGCAAACAGGGAUUAGAUACCCUGGUAGUCCACGCCGUAGACGAUGAGUGCUAAGUGUUAGGGGGUUUUCCGCCCCCCUUAGUGCUGCAGCUAACGCAUUGAGCACUCCGCCCUGGGAGUACGGCCGCAAGGCUG
Molecule: ribosomal RNA, 375 nt
Filed under: uncultured organism
Description: partial 16S ribosomal RNA
Rfam family: Bacterial small subunit ribosomal RNA
Source: RNAcentral